This 249-nucleotide ribosomal RNA is filed under the name uncultured bacterium. Its description in RNAcentral is "partial small subunit ribosomal RNA". It matches the Rfam family "Bacterial small subunit ribosomal RNA", at positions 26 to 290 of the family's 1533-position model. The record is from RNAcentral.
AGAAUCAACGCUGGCGGCGUGCCUAACACAUGCAAGUCGAACGAGAAAGUGGAGCAAUCCAUGAGUAAAGUGGCGCACGGGUGAGUAACACGUGACUAACCUACCCUUGAGUGGGGGAUAACCUAGGGAAACCUGGGCUAAUACCGCAUAAUACCUUCGGGUCAAAGGAGCAAUUCGCUUAAGGAGGGGGUCGCGGCCGAUUAGUUAGUUGGCGGGGUAAUGGCCACCAAGACUGUGAUCGGUAUCCGG